This 735-nucleotide ribosomal RNA is filed under the name Escherichia coli. RNAcentral describes it as "bacterial SSU rRNA". It matches the Rfam family "Bacterial small subunit ribosomal RNA", at positions 785 to 1520 of the family's 1533-position model. RNAcentral also lists the same sequence under 1 other name. The record is from RNAcentral. Lineage: Bacteria; Pseudomonadati; Pseudomonadota; Gammaproteobacteria; Enterobacterales; Enterobacteriaceae.
CCCUGGUAGUCCACGCCGUAAACGAUGUCGACUUGGAGGUUGUGCCCUUGAGGCGUGGCUUCCGGAGCUAACGCGUUAAGUCGACCGCCUGGGGAGUACGGCCGCAAGGUUAAAACUCAAAUGAAUUGACGGGGGCCCGCACAAGCGGUGGAGCAUGUGGUUUAAUUCGAUGCAACGCGAAGAACCUUACCUGGUCUUGACAUCCACGGAAGUUUUCAGAGAUGAGAAUGUGCCUUCGGGAACCGUGAGACAGGUGCUGCAUGGCUGUCGUCAGCUCGUGUUGUGAAAUGUUGGGUUAAGUCCCGCAACGAGCGCAACCCUUAUCCUUUGUUGCCAGCGGUCCGGCCGGGAACUCAAAGGAGACUGCCAGUGAUAAACUGGAGGAAGGUGGGGAUGACGUCAAGUCAUCAUGGCCCUUACGACCAGGGCUACACACGUGCUACAAUGGCGCAUACAAAGAGAAGCGACCUCGCGAGAGCAAGCGGACCUCAUAAAGUGCGUCGUAGUCCGGAUUGGAGUCUGCAACUCGACUCCAUGAAGUCGGAAUCGCUAGUAAUCGUGGAUCAGAAUGCCACGGUGAAUACGUUCCCGGGCCUUGUACACACCGCCCGUCACACCAUGGGAGUGGGUUGCAAAAGAAGUAGGUAGCUUAACCUUCGGGAGGGCGCUUACCACUUUGUGAUUCAUGACUGGGGUGAAGUCGUAACAAGGUAACCGUAGGGGAACCUGCGGUUG